Long non-coding RNA from Ictalurus punctatus (channel catfish), 2366 nucleotides. The record is from Ensembl. Lineage: Eukaryota; Metazoa; Chordata; Actinopteri; Siluriformes; Ictaluridae.
AUUUAAUCAGGACAGGCUGGUAUCACAUUACGCGUAGUUACCGCUACCAGCAGCGCUUUAUUCCUCUUACACCACAGCAAUGCUUCAAGAAAUAAUACUUUUUAUCUGUUUAGAGUUACGUCUCAAGUUAUCAAACGUCCACUCCUGAAGAAUUUUCCUUGCAGCUUUACUUCUGACUGUUCCAAAGUGCCGACACUGGAGACUCCUUCCGAAACGCUAAAUAAACAAACAUCUCCUCACGGAAACUUUCACCAGCUCAACAGUUACACGCGCUUUUUAAUCCGUAUGCGAAACGCACGUCGUAUAAGUCACGUGAACGAGCUGUUACUAUGGAAACGAUAACGUAUCACAAUAAGCGCUUUACCGUAAACCUCGCAGCUGGAACGUUCGCCAGAGCCGCUGUUAUAGAAAAUGAAUCAACACCUUCUGACCAAGCAGAACAGAGGAUUCAACAGUGGCAUGAGACAGAUUAAAAUAUCAGGCGAGGGGCAAACUUUUAAACGUACGACGUAAAUUAGAAGCGAAUUUAAAAAGAAAAUUCCGGAGGAAAACGGACACUCGUUAAGGCUCUAGACAAAUAUGGAGAUUGGAUCGUAGAGACGCAGAGACGGAGACCGGACCGUAGAGACGUAGACACGGAGAUUUGACUGUAGAGACGUACAAACAGAGAUUUGACUGUAGAGACGUACAAACAUGGAGAUUUGACUGUAGAGACGUACAAACAGAGAUUUGACUGUAGAGACACGUACAAACAGAGAUUUGACUGUAGAGACGUACAAACAGAGACUGGAUCAUAGAGAAGUAGACACGGAGAUUGGAUUUUAGAGAUAUACAAGCAGAGAUUGGAUCGUAGAGACGUACAAACGGAGACUGGAUUGGAGAGAUGUAGACAUGGAGAUUGGAUUUUAGAGAUGUACAAACGGAGAUUGGAUCGUAGACACGUACAAACGGAGACUGGAUUGGAGAGAUGUAGACAUGGAGAUUGGAUCGUAGACACGUACAAACAGAGAUUGGAUCGUAGACACGUACAAACAGAGAUUGGAUCGUAGACACGUACAAACAGAGAUUGGAUCGUAGACAUGUAGACACAGAGAUUGGAUUUUAGAGAUGUACAAACAGAGAUUGGAUCGUAGAGACGUGCAAACAGAGAUUGGAUCAUAGAGAUGUACAAACAGAGACUGGAUUGUAGACAUGUAGACACAGAGAUUGGAUCAUACGGAUGUAGACAGAUUAUACAAUUCUGUGACACCUACCUGCCAUAAACAAUGCAAAGACGAUAAAUAAAUGAACAAGGUUCAUAACUAAGGCUUGCCUCAACCUCGUACCACAUUUCUCCCUACAUUGUUUUGAAGAAAAUACCUUUGUUUGUUGGCGUGUCUAAACUCCAAUCAUAAAAACAUUCAAAUAUUGUUCAGGAUGACGACGUCAGCACGCGCUCCCCAUAACCUACUGCGAUAUCAGCAACACAAAGUCCACUACCGCGUUAACGAUGGGCAAACACAACGCGCGUGCAGGGACCUACAGAAACUGAGAGGUGUACGUCAUGAAUUCCCAUGCAGCGAACAAGAACGGACACAGGAGGCACGAGUACUAAUUACCCGUUACAAUAAUAACACCGAUAAUCUCCCAGAUCUACCCGAGCAACUAAUCUCCACUUCAUCCUGUUAAACAAGAGGUCUGUGGAGGCUUUUCUCAGUGUUCUCCACGCGCUAAACACUGUCCAACGGACCGCUAACUCUUCAUUAAUUAGUGAGAUUCAUCAUUUAAUCGUCACGGUUUUAACGUGUGUGCAGUUCUUACUGAAAGAGGACGCAAAGUUCCUAGCCUACACGUGUGAAAGCAUUAAGACAACACCGUUUUUUCCUCCUGGUUUUUUUUCUUCUUCUUUUCUUUUCUUUUCCCACUGAGCAGACAGAAAAACCAAGCGCAUACCCACACUCGCCUCGUGCCAACAACCGAACACAGCCUUUCGAAAUUAAAACCACAUGCAGACCUGACACGGCCUUUGACGGAGGGAGGGGAGUGGGAACAAACCCCCCCCCCAAAAAAACAGAUAAUAACCAAAAGAGGCAAGGUUAUCAGGAAACUGUAGGCUGGUGGAGCUACGGCAAAAGCAGCAGAGUGACCAGAAGAAGUCCUGAUGAAGAUCUGCUACGGAAGGACCCGAGUGACCAGUCUGAAGUGCUGAUGGUACAAGGAAAGUAAAAGCUCCUAUCGUUAAAAGUAAAAAUACCUGUAAUAUCAAACUUCGCUCCUCGUCACUGUUCGCUCUCUCAGCUCUCAAGAGGAAGCAGAUCAGUUGGAAACAUGACAGAGAGAGAGAGAGAGAGAGAGAGAGAGAAGGGGAGGAGGAAAGAAAGGGGAGG